CAUUCGUUUACGUAUAUUUAAAUUUAAUGAAAAAUUCUGCCAUGUCCUAAUGUUCAUCUGCAGAUGAUGAAGACUCUCCUGUCUUGGUGCAUAUCUUGAGUGGAGCUUUGGCAUUUACCAUCAUCCUGGUUGUUUUACUGGCUUAUACAACAUACAUAAUGUACAAGAGAAAGAGCACAGACCCUCAAGCAAGAUCCUCCUCUGCCCCGGCUCCCAGUGCAGAGGGUUACCAAGAUGCAGACAACCUCCAUUAUGCUUCUGUAAGGACGAACAAGGCCAACAGAUCAGCGAGGCAGAGAGACGACAGCUGUGUGUACUCCGGCGUGAGGCCGUAGAAGUGGACUGUUUCAUUUGUUCUCAAGAAAUGAUUUCACCUCCCGAUGCUGAAUGUAACGAUGCACCUUGCCGUGCACCAAUUAAACACGUUCCCUCAGCUACAGCUAGGCCACGUUUCUUUGAUGUGAUCGAGGUGCCAUGUUUCCACUCCUACACACUCGUAGUCAACAACGCACAAACACACAACCACACAUAACUGAUGUCAGAGGUGACUGUGGGCAAAGGUACUUGAUAGAGGAAAACGGACAUAAAAAUAAAGUUUGUAGCCAAUGUUAAAGGCUUCCUGUUUCCCCUUAACACAGCUCAUUUUAUUUGGUUGUUGUUCGUGGGCUACAAUUGGUAGCAUUGCAGCCUUUAAGCAUAUUUGAUUUGGACAUGACACAUUUGAGGCAUGGUAUCAUGCACAGCCUUCUCACAGCACGGUGAUGCAGAGACCCACCGACAUCUGAUGUUGCAUGCAAAGCCACUCCUUACAAGCCAAUCUCUCCAAUAUCGAGCGCCCACCACAAGUGACGUGUCGGUCUUUGUAACUUGUUUACUGUAAAUGUACUGAUUGCAUACCUUAAACCCAGAGGUGAGAGGAUCGAUUUUUUUGCCUCAGUGUGGUCGUCUGCCAAAGAUUAGCGCUCACUAUACUUCGGUCAUGUAUUUUUUGACUCACCACAGCUAUUUAUAUCUUUAUUGCUUCAAACUUAAGUUUGACAAAUAUUUAACAAAUAUUAUGAUUAGUUGAAGUCAUAAAAGCUAUAAGAGCUGAAUCGUCCCAAACUACUAAAAUAAUAACUAGUUACUCUAGAACAUUAUUGCAUAUGCACUCAGUUAUUUCAGUGCUUUGUGAAAAUCGUAUAAAGUGCAGUGUCAGAAACCCUCAGGACCAGCCAUGCUGGGGCAGUAAUGAGCUCACAUUAUUUUUAGACCUAACAUCUCACGUCCACCCACAGUAGUAUAGUAUGUCUACCUGACAGUCAGUUGUGCUAGCACAAAGGUUUUUCACUGACUCUUGUAUCAUACAAGCAGGGGCCAUGAAAUGUGUGUUUGGUAAGGAGUGUGGCAAAUGUAUUAAAAAAUCACUGUUAACAGCAAAAUUAGCCACAUGUGGGUUAUCU
RNAcentral lists this long non-coding RNA (1442 nucleotides) under Sparus aurata (gilthead seabream). Its description in RNAcentral is "lncRNA (ENSSAUG00010022744.1)". The record is from RNAcentral. Lineage: Eukaryota; Metazoa; Chordata; Actinopteri; Spariformes; Sparidae.